GAUGAACGCUGGCGGCGUGCCUAAUACAUGCAAGUCGAGCGAACGGACGAGAAGCUUGCUUCUCUGAUGUUAGCGGCGGACGGGUGAGUAACACGUGGAUAACCUACCUAUAAGACUGGGAUAACUUCGGGAAACCGGAGCUAAUACCGGAUAAUAUUUUGAACCGCAUUGUUCAAAAGUGAAAGACGGUCUUGCUGUCACUUAUAGAUGGAUCCGCGCUGCAUUAGCUAGUUGGUAAGGUAACGGCUUACCAAGGCAACGAUGCAUAGCCGACCUGAGAGGGGGAUCGGCCACACGGGAACUGAGAAACGGUCAAGACUCCAACGGGAGGCAGCAGUAGGGAAUCUUCCGCAAUGGGCGAAAGCCUGACGGAGCAAGGACGCGUGAGGGAUGAAGGUCUUCGGAUCGUAAAACGUUGUUAUUAGGGAAGAACAUAUGUGUAAGUAACUGGGCAAAUCUUGACGGUACCUAAUAAGAAAGCCACGGCUAACUACGUG
Molecule: ribosomal RNA, 497 nt
Filed under: uncultured bacterium
Lineage: Bacteria
Description: partial 16S ribosomal RNA
Rfam family: Bacterial small subunit ribosomal RNA
Source: RNAcentral